AACGUAGGUGGCAAGCGUUAUCCGGAUUCACUGGGCGUAAAGCGAGUGCAGGUGGUUGUGUAAGUUGGAUGUGAAAUUUCCCAGCUUAACUGGGAAGGGUCAUUCAAUACUGCGCGACUUGAGGGCAGAAGAGGGGGGUGGAAUUGCCGGUGUAGUGGUGAAAUGCGUAGAUAUCGGCAGGAACACCUGUGGCGAAAGCGGCCCCCUGGUCUGAUCCUGACACUCAGACUCGAAAGCUAGGGUAG
This 245-nucleotide ribosomal RNA is filed under the name uncultured bacterium. RNAcentral's name for it is "partial 16S ribosomal RNA". It matches the Rfam family "Bacterial small subunit ribosomal RNA", at positions 524 to 768 of the family's 1533-position model. The record is from RNAcentral.